GACGGAGGAUGCAAGCGUUAUGCGGAAUGAUUGGGCGUAAAGCGUUCUCAGGUGGCUGUUCAAGUCUGCUGUCAAAGACCGGGGCUUAACCCUAGAAAGGCAGUGGAAACUGGACGGCUGGAGUGCAGUAUGGGUAGAGGGAAUUCCCAGUGUAGCGGUGAAAUGCGUAGAGAUUGGGAAGAACACCGGUGGCGAAAGCGCUCUGCUGGACUGCAACUGACACUGAGGUACGAAAGCUAGGGGAGCGAAAGGG
Molecule: ribosomal RNA, 253 nt
Filed under: uncultured bacterium
Lineage: Bacteria
Description: partial 16S ribosomal RNA
Rfam family: Bacterial small subunit ribosomal RNA
Source: RNAcentral